UUCUCUGUCAUACACUUCUUCGUGGGAAAAUGUUGAGUUUAACCAAUUGUAUCUAUCUUUGGUCGCAGUUUGUCUCCGAAUCCAAGUAAACAAAGAAAACAAGGAAUUCAAGGAUUUGCCACCAGAACGUGCUUAUGCAGAUUUUGUUCUCUGCAAUUUAGUGCUCCAUUUGGUGAUCAUGAAUUUCCUUGGAUAGAUUGACGUUCCUAAUCUCGAGUGAAUGCUGCUUAUCCAAAUAUUCUUGUCUGUAAGGAUGCUGUUAAGGCAAGCACUUUAGCAAUAUGAGAGUUCUGUUUGCCCUUUUUCAUCAUCAUUUAUGAACCUGAUAAUUUGUCAAUUAGACAUAGGUACUUUGGAUAGCUGUUCUUUGCAGUUUUAAAAGUAUGAACUUUACCUCAAUAUACGUACCCGUUCUCCCCUUGGAUUUC
This is a non-coding RNA of Nicotiana tabacum (common tobacco), 428 nucleotides long. NCBI's taxonomy places the organism in Eukaryota, Viridiplantae, Streptophyta, Magnoliopsida, Solanales, Solanaceae. The record is from RefSeq and is a predicted model, not a curated record.